CAUUAGAUAGCUUAAAGUAAGCAGUGGAAUUUUAAAUCAAAGAAUAAUAAUUAACGCCUAUUUCUAAUGA
Molecule: transfer RNA, 70 nt
Filed under: Aristobrotica sp. REN-2018
Lineage: Eukaryota; Metazoa; Arthropoda; Insecta; Coleoptera; Chrysomelidae
Description: tRNA-Lys
Source: RNAcentral